GUAGGGCGGGACACGUGGUAUCCUGUCUGAAUAUGGGGGGACCAUCCUCCAAGGCUAAAUACUCCUGACUGACCGAUAGUGAACCAGUACCGUGAGGGAAAGGCGAAAAGAACCCCGGCGAGGGGAGUGAAAAAGAACCUGAAACCGUGUACGUACAAGCAGUGGGAGCACAGAGCAAUCUGUGUGACUGCGUACCUUUUGUAUAAUGGGUCAGCGACUUAUAUUCUGUAGCAAGGUUAACCGAAUAGGGGAGCCGAAGGGAAACCGAGUCUUAACUGGGCGUUAAGUUGCAGGGUAUAGACCCGAAACCCGGUGAUCUAGCCAUGGGCAGGUUGAAGGUUGGGUAACACUAACUGGAGGACCGAACCGACUAAUGUUGAAAAAUUAGCGGAUGACUUGUGGCUGGGGGUGAAAGGCCAAUCAAACCGGGAGAUAGCUGGUUCUCCCCGAAAGCUAUUUAGGUAGCGCCUCGUGAAUUCAUCUCCGGGGGUAGAGCACUGUUUCGGCAAGGGGGUCAUCCCGACUUACCAACCCGAUGCAAACUGCGAAUACCGGAGAAUGUUAUCACGGGAGACACACGGCGGGUGCUAACGUCCGUCGUGAAGAGGGAAACAACCCAGACCGCCAGCUAAGGUCCCAAAGUCAUGGUUAAGUGGGAAACGAUGUGGGAAGGCCCAGACAGCCAGGAUGUUGGCUUAGAAGCAGCCAUCAUUUAAAGAAAGCGUAAUAGCUCACUGGUCGAGUCGGCCUGCGCGGAAGAUGUAACGGGGCUAAACCAUGCACCGAAGCUGCGGCAGCGACGCUUAUGCGUUGUUGGGUAGGGGAGCGUUCUGUAAGCCUGCGAAGGUGUGCUGUGAGGCAUGCUGGAGGUAUCAGAAGUGCGAAUGCUGACAUAAGUAACGAUAAAGCGGGUGAAAAGCCCGCUCGCCGGAAGACCAAGGGUUCCUGUCCAACGUUAAUCGGGGCAGGGUGAGUCGACCCCUAAGGCGAGGCCGAAAGGCGUAGUCGAUGGGAAACAGGUUAAUAUUCCUGUACUUGGUGUUACUGCGAAGGGGGGACGGAGAAGGCUAUGUUGGCCGGGCGACGGUUGUCCCGGUUUAAGCGUGUAGGCUGGUUUUCCAGGCAAAUCCGGAAAAUCAAGGCUGAGGCGUGAUGACGAGGCACUACGGUGCUGAAGCAACAAAUGCCCUGCUUCCAGGAAAAGCCUCUAAGCAUCAGGUAACAUCAAAUCGUACCCCAAACCGACACAGGUGGUCAGGUAGAGAAUACCAAGGCGCUUGAGAGAACUCGGGUGAAGGAACUAGGCAAAAUGGUGCCGUAACUUCGGGAGAAGGCACGCUGAUAUGUAGGUGAAGCGACUUGCUCGUGGAGCUGAAAUCAGUCGAAGAUACCAGCUGGCUGCAACUGUUUAUUAAAAACACAGCACUGUGCAAACACGAAAGUGGACGUAUACGGUGUGACGCCUGCCCGGUGCCGGAA
RNAcentral lists this ribosomal RNA (1479 nucleotides) under Escherichia coli. RNAcentral's name for it is "partial 23S ribosomal RNA". It matches the Rfam family "Bacterial large subunit ribosomal RNA", at positions 412 to 1874 of the family's 2925-position model. Lineage: Bacteria; Pseudomonadati; Pseudomonadota; Gammaproteobacteria; Enterobacterales; Enterobacteriaceae. The record is from RNAcentral. RNAcentral also lists the same sequence under 1 other name.